CGCCGCCCCGGCGCUGCCGCCCGCCGCCCCGGCGUUCGGCGCGGCCCGCGCGCUGCUGGCGCGGCGCCACUCGUGCCUGGUGGCGGCGCCGCGCCGGCGGCACGUGGCGCUGCCCCCGCGCUUCCUGGCCCGCAAGCGCUCCGGCAUCCGCGCGCAGCUGGACGCGGAGCUCCUGCGCUACUCCGAGAGCCUGCAGGGCGUGCCCGUGGCUUACGACAACAUCAAAGUGGUGGGGGAGCUCGGCGACAUCUACGACGACCAAGGAUUCAUCCACCUGGACGUCGAGGCGGACUUCAUCAUCUUCAGCCCCAAGAAAGGGAAGAAGCUGGUGGGCAUAAUUAAUAAAGUGGCCCCUAGUCACAUUGGCUGCCUGAUACAUGGAUGCUUCAAUGCAUCUAUCCCGAAGCCUGAACAAAUGUCCAUUGUACAGUGGCAAGAGCUGGGGUUAAAAAUAGGGGAUGAACUGAAAUUUCAAGUGUUGCACUUGGAUUCUGAUACAGCUGGGGUGUUCUUCAUUCGAGGAGGACUCACUAAAAGCAGCAUGCGGCCCAAAAAAUCUCAUGCAGUCACUGAAAGUACAAAUGGAGAUGAAAUUCAAAAACUUGACCACCAGGAAAAUGGCCUGAAUAACUGUGGGGAAGAUAAUUUCACAGAAGAGCCUUUAAAAGACACAGAUAACCUUGGAAGGGAAAAUGAAGAAGAGACAAGUGUUGAUGCUGUGAAUGGAUUAUGUGAUGAUAAAAAGAAGAAAAAGAAAAAGGACAAGGACAAGCAAGGAGAACAGGAACUUGUAUUGCCUACCAGUGACUCCAGUGGUUACCAAAGUGGCCAUAAAAAAUCAAAGAAAAAGAAAAGAAAGCAUUGUGAUGAAGUUGAAGAAAGUGAAUUAUCUCAGCUGUCAGAAAAACCCAAAGCAAAAAAGAAAAGGACUAAGGUCUGAAGGUUUCCUGCAUAAGAUUUCAGACAUUUUUUAUAAGUUUCAAUAAAACCCUGUUUUGAAAAUGUGUAUCUCCUUUU
Molecule: long non-coding RNA, 1017 nt
Filed under: Chloebia gouldiae (Gouldian finch)
Lineage: Eukaryota; Metazoa; Chordata; Aves; Passeriformes; Passeridae
Description: Erythrura gouldiae (Gouldian finch) lncRNA (ENSEGOG00005002497.1)
Source: RNAcentral